CUUGAUAUCUAUAAGAGGUCCAGCCUGCCCAGUGACGAAGUUCAACGGCCGCGGUAUCCUAACCGUGCGAAGGUAGCGUAAUCACUUGUUCUUUAAAUGAGGACUAGUAUGAAUGGCACCACGAGGGUUAUACUGUCUCCUUUUUCUAAUCAAUGAAACUAAUCUCCCCGUGAAGAAGCGGGGAUAAACUUAUAAGACGAGAAGACCCUAUGGAGCUUUAAACAACAAUAGCACUAGCCUUCAUCUUUAUACUUGAGAGAUACAACUAUUAUAUUGGCUAACAUGACUAUUAGUUUUAGGUUGGGGUGACCGCGGAGCAAAAACUAACCUCCACAUUGAACGGAGCUUUCCUGAGCUAAAAGCUACAACUUUAAGCACCAAUAAAUUGACAUCAAUUGACCCAACACGUUGAGCAACGAAC
RNAcentral lists this ribosomal RNA (421 nucleotides) under Dendropsophus nanus group sp. ABGD cluster 64. RNAcentral's name for it is "partial large subunit ribosomal RNA". It matches the Rfam family "Archaeal large subunit ribosomal RNA", at positions 1927 to 2510 of the family's 2987-position model. Lineage: Eukaryota; Metazoa; Chordata; Amphibia; Anura; Hylidae. RNAcentral also lists the same sequence under 1 other name. The record is from RNAcentral.